This 25-nucleotide non-coding RNA is filed under the name Mus musculus (house mouse). The record is from RNAcentral. Lineage: Eukaryota; Metazoa; Chordata; Mammalia; Rodentia; Muridae.
UAGAUCUGCAAAGGUGCUCUCUUAG